Pygocentrus nattereri (red-bellied piranha) is the source of this 176-nucleotide small nuclear RNA. Its record names the gene U2. It matches the Rfam family "U2 spliceosomal RNA". From Rfam's summary of the family: U2 is a small nuclear RNA (snRNA) component of the spliceosome (involved in pre-mRNA splicing). Complementary binding between U2 snRNA (in an area lying towards the 5' end but 3' to hairpin I) and the branchpoint sequence (BPS) of the intron results the bulging out of an unpaired adenosine, on the BPS, which initiates a nucleophilic attack at the intronic 5' splice site, thus starting the first of two transesterification reactions that mediate splicing. Lineage: Eukaryota; Metazoa; Chordata; Actinopteri; Characiformes; Serrasalmidae. The record is from Ensembl.
AAAACAUUUUAUAAAAAUAAAAAUCUGUUCUUAUCAGUUUAAUAUCUGAUACGUCCUCUAUAUGAGGACUACAUAUUAAAUUGAUUUUUAGAACAGGGAGACGGAAGAGGAGCUUGCUCCGUCCGCUCCACGCAUCGACCCGGUAUUGCAGUACCUCCGGGAACGGUGCACCUCCU